This 328-nucleotide ribosomal RNA is filed under the name uncultured bacterium. RNAcentral describes it as "bacterial SSU rRNA". It matches the Rfam family "Bacterial small subunit ribosomal RNA", at positions 198 to 507 of the family's 1533-position model. The record is from RNAcentral.
GGUGGAAAGUGGGGGACCUUCGGGCCUCACGCUAUUGGAUGAGCCUAAGUCGGAUUAGCUUGUUGGUAGGGUAAUGGCCUACCAAGGCGACGAUCCGUAGCUGGUCUGAGAGGACGAUCAGCCACACUGGGACUGAGACACGGCCCAGACUCCUAGGGGAGGCAGCAGUGGGGAAUAUUGGACAAUGGGCGCAAGCCUGAUCCAGCAAUGCCGCGUGUGUGAAGAAGGCCUGCGGGUUGUAAAGCACUUUCAGUAGAGAAGAAAAGCCUAGGGUUAAUAACCCUGAGUUUUGACGUAACCUACAGAAGAAGCACCGGCUAACUCCGUG